This 499-nucleotide ribosomal RNA is filed under the name uncultured bacterium. RNAcentral describes it as "bacterial SSU rRNA". It matches the Rfam family "Bacterial small subunit ribosomal RNA", at positions 899 to 1397 of the family's 1533-position model. The record is from RNAcentral.
ACUCAAAUGAAUUGACGGGGGCCCGCACAAGCGGUGGAGCAUGUGGUUUAAUUCGAUGCAACGCGAAGAACCUUACCAAGGCUUGACAUCCCUCCGACGUAUGUAGAGAUACAUAUUCCCUUCGGGGCGGAGGUGACAGGUGGUGCAUGGUUGUCGUCAGCUCGUGCCGUGAGGUGUUGGGUUAAGUCCCGCAACGAGCGCAACCCUUACUUUCAGUAGCCAGCGCGUUACGGCGGGCACUCUGGAGGGACUGCCGUGGAUAACACGGAGGAAGGCGGGGACGACGUCAAAUCAUCAUGCUCUUUAUGCCUUGGGCUACACACGUGCUACAAUGGCCGCCACAGAGCGACGCGAAGCAGCGAUGCGGAGCAAAGCGCUAAAAAGCGGCCCCAGUUCGGAUCGCAGGCUGCAACCCGCCUGCGUGAAGUUGGAAUCGCUAGUAAUCGCGGAUCAGCAUGCCGCGGUGAAUACGUUCCCGGGCCUUGUACACACCGCCCGU